RNAcentral lists this long non-coding RNA (434 nucleotides) under Elaeis guineensis (African oil palm). RNAcentral describes it as "long non-coding RNA (EGUI_LNC076058)". The record is from RNAcentral. Lineage: Eukaryota; Viridiplantae; Streptophyta; Magnoliopsida; Arecales; Arecaceae.
GGGGUAGUUUGGAUUGGAGUUGAACCUGGCUGGAAGAAGUCUGGAAGGGAUUCAGAGAACAGCUGAUAGUCGUAGAAAGUCGGCUGGCGGCGGAGCUCAGUGAGCACUUAGGGCAGCUUAAUAGAUGACUGGGGGAACUCAUGUUGAAGGAGCUCGGGUGGUGCAGUGGGAGUUUGUCCGUCGGGGGAAUUCAGUCAGCACUGUGGAAAUCUGGCUGUUGGAGAAGUCCGGAGAGAUACCAUCUGCGGUCGAAAGUCGGAGAAGUCCUGGGAGGGUCAAUCCUGUCAAGAACUUCGGCUGAGGGUAUUUUAUAUCCAACACCAGUCCCCCUAUUUUCGAGUUCGAAUUUUGAAUGAAGAAAGUACAGAGAGAUUGUCACAACCGAAGUUGCUCCCUUGAUGUCCGCGCAUAAUUGUCCUCAGAUAUUUUGGCAU